AAUAAACGCUGGCGGCGUGCCUAAUACAUGCAAGUCGAGCGAGAAGGUGUAGCAAUACACUUGUAAAGCGGCGAACGGGUGAGGAAUACAUGGGUAAUCUACCAUCGAGUGGGGAAUAACCAACCGAAAGGUUGGCUAAUACCGCGUACGCCUCCGAGUCUUCGGGUUCGGAGGGAAAGCUGCACUGUGAGUGUAGCGCUCUUUGAUGAGCUCAUGUCCUAUCAGCUUGUUGGUAGGGUAACGGCCUACCAAGGCUUUGACGGGUAGCUGGUCUGAGAGGACGAUCAGCCACACUGGCACUGCGACACGGGCCAGACUCCUACGGGAGGCAGCAGUAAGGAAUAUUGCGCAAUGGGCGAAAGCGUGACGCAGCAACACCGCGUGA
This 385-nucleotide ribosomal RNA is filed under the name uncultured bacterium. RNAcentral describes it as "bacterial SSU rRNA". It matches the Rfam family "Bacterial small subunit ribosomal RNA", at positions 29 to 404 of the family's 1533-position model. The record is from RNAcentral.